UUUAUGUAAUACUAACAGACCAAAUUCUCCCUUCUCUUCUUCAUGAAACCCUUUCCGCCGCCACAACCCUUUGUCUGGAUUCUUCCAUUUUCUAACCUUCAAUGACUCCUCCACAACCACCAAUCCACCAUCUUCAUCCUUUCUAUAUGAUUUUAAAAUUUUACAACCAUUAACUUCUUAGUUAGAUCUUGACAACCACGGGUAAUUUUUCAAAAAACUAUUAACAUAGAAAUACUCUCUUAUAUCCCCUUCCAAAACCCACAAUUAUUAUUUUUUCAAUAGGAGCAAGUUCGUCGGAAACCACCGCGCCGGAAACCAUCGCCGCCGCAACUAUCACUUUUCCGGUCAAGGUUUGAAAAUGUUUAUAUCUGUUUUUUGAGUAAAAUCAUUUUUGAACAUGCUUAAAAAAUUGUUUUGUUGGCUGUUGAACUCCAUUUUGUAAAUAACUGUUUUUUCAGUUUAUUAAAACUUUUCACUUCUAUCAUCUGUAUCAUUUGUGUGUAGUUUGAGUAUGGGCUGAGAGGUUGGAGAUGGUAAAGAGUUAAAAUUGUUUAACAAUACUAUGAUCACAUAAACAAAAUCAUUCUUGCAAAAAGAAAUAACCCAAAUCAUAAAAUCCAAUCCAUAAAUUCUACUUUUUCUAAUUUUCAGUACUUUCUCUUUACACUUAUUUUCUUACCCAAAAUCUUUGCUCUUUGUUCUCCAUCUUUGUUUAUAUUUAUUUGUUCUUCAUUUUUCUAUCUCAUGGUGGAUUUGUGCCAUUCAUCUUUACUUCUCAUGUGUUGUUUUAGGUUCCUGACAAAAUAAAACACAAAAUUGAAACAAAUUAAAUGAAAAGUCAAUUAAUAUUAAAGAAUAGAUCAUAUCAUUUUAUCUACUCUGGAUGUUUUAUUUAUUUUUUCUAAACUUUUACCUUGCGAUGGUACUUUUAUGUGUUCAUAUUGUCCAAAAAAAAAGAACUUUCCUGCAAAAUAAAAUAAAUGUAAAUGGAGUUUAAAAAAUAAAGAUGAAGGCAAAAAAUAGCUAAGAAAGAGUGAGAGAUAGUAUAUUUCUUUCAACCAUCUCAUGAUUUGGUUUGUUUUUGAUUUUCCGGUGUACUCCUUUCUUUAAAAUAUACCACUAUUUUUUAACUCAACUAUGUUAUUCAUGGUGCAAGAAAGACAUAAGUUGUUAGUAUAUGAUUUUCUGUUUUGCCAUCUCUUGAAAGAUAGAAAAAAAAUAACAAACAUAAAACAUGAAGAACAUUAUUCAAUAAUAAUAAGAAGAAAGUAGUAGUAAUAAAAAGUAGUAGAAAAAAAAAAGACAGAAAAUGAAAGGAUGAAUGUAAGAGAAAUUUGUGAGAGAAUGAUAAAAUUUCAAUUGUUUCUUAUUUAUGUUGGUGAGAGAAGGUAAUGUAGCAUUUAAUUUUAAGAUUUGAAUUCAAAAUUUGAAUUCCACAAUAAGAGGGAAAAUGUGUGAUAUUCAAAAAGUUUGAUUGGAUAAGUCACAUGUGUUACUUUUCAAUUGAAACUGGUUUGGUUACUUUUUUGCAUGGGGCUUGAUGAAAAGUUACCUUUACUCUCACAAUAUAGAAAUAUGGCUUGGUUGGCUUGAAAAAUGGCUUGGUUCAAUGCUACAUUAGUUCAGUUACUUAAUUUUUUGACAUGAAAAGUCCCUACUUUGGACACAUGUCAUAUUCUUAAAUAGGGGCAUUUUUGACUUUACCAGGUACUUCAACUUUCUUAUAUUGUUAUUGAUGA
Molecule: long non-coding RNA, 1739 nt
Filed under: Trifolium pratense (red clover)
Lineage: Eukaryota; Viridiplantae; Streptophyta; Magnoliopsida; Fabales; Fabaceae
Description: long non-coding RNA (TPRA_LNC000823)
Source: RNAcentral